GGAAAUGUGGCUUAGUGGUAGAGUACUUGCCUUGCAUGCAUGAAGCCCUGGGCUCAAUUCCUCAGUACCA
This 70-nucleotide transfer RNA is filed under the name Dipodomys ordii (Ord's kangaroo rat). It matches the Rfam family "tRNA". Rfam says of the family: Transfer RNA (tRNA) molecules are approximately 80 nucleotides in length. Their secondary structure includes four short double-helical elements and three loops (D, anti-codon, and T loops). Lineage: Eukaryota; Metazoa; Chordata; Mammalia; Rodentia; Heteromyidae. The record is from Rfam by way of RNAcentral.